UGGCCUGUAGCCAAGCGGUAAGGCAACGGUUUUUGGUAUCGUCAUGCGUAGGUUCGAAUCCUGCCAGGCCAGCCA
Molecule: transfer RNA, 75 nt
Filed under: Mycoplasmatota bacterium
Lineage: Bacteria; Bacillati; Mycoplasmatota
Also listed under: 1 other name
Description: Tenericutes bacterium tRNA-Gln
Rfam family: tRNA
About the family: Transfer RNA (tRNA) molecules are approximately 80 nucleotides in length.
Source: RNAcentral